GAUGGUUCAUUCAAAUUUCUGCCCUAUCAACUUUCGAUGGUAGAGUAGUGGUCUACCAUGGUUUCAACGGGUAACGGGGAAUAAGGGUUCGAUUCCGGAGAGGGAGCCUGAGAAACGGCUACCACAUCCAAGGAAGGCAGCAGGCGCGCAAAUUACCCAAUCCCGACACGGGGAGGUAGUGACAAUAAAUAACAAUAUAGGGCUCUUUUGGGUCUUAUAAUUGGAAUGAGUACAAUUUAAAUCUCUUAACGAGGACACAAUUGGAGGGCAAGUCUGGUGCCAGCAGCCGCGGUAAUUCCAGCUCCAAUAGCGUAUAUUAAAGUUGUUGCAGUUAAAAAGCUCGUAGUUGAACUUCAGAUCUGGUUGAGUGGUCCGCCUAACGGUGUGUUACUGCUUGACUGGGUCUUGUCUCUUGGUGAACCGUUGUGUUCUUUAUUGGAUGCUUCGGGGAACCAGGACUUUUACCUUGAGAAAAUUAGAGUGUUCAAAGCAGGCCUAUGCCCGAAUACAUUAGCAUGGAAUAAUAGAA
RNAcentral lists this ribosomal RNA (529 nucleotides) under uncultured fungus. RNAcentral describes it as "SSU rRNA". It matches the Rfam family "Eukaryotic small subunit ribosomal RNA", at positions 289 to 822 of the family's 1831-position model. Lineage: Eukaryota; Fungi. The record is from RNAcentral.